RNAcentral lists this non-coding RNA (163 nucleotides) under pig gut metagenome. RNAcentral describes it as "Lysine riboswitch". It matches the Rfam family "Lysine riboswitch aptamer". From Rfam's summary of the family: Riboswitches are metabolite binding domains within certain messenger RNAs that serve as precision sensors for their corresponding targets. Allosteric rearrangement of mRNA structure is mediated by ligand binding, and this results in modulation of gene expression. The record is from RNAcentral.
UUUGAUAGAGGUGCGAACCUUCAAUAUCUGUAUUAACGGUUUGCCGGCAGGCAUAAUGCAGAGAGGGGAGGAUCGCCGAAACAGCGGGAAUUCUGCCGAUGCACCGCUGUUGGUCUGUUGCAGAAUAUGUAACCGACUGUCACAAUCGUGGAGCGCUAUCGGU